RNAcentral lists this ribosomal RNA (293 nucleotides) under uncultured bacterium. RNAcentral's name for it is "partial 16S ribosomal RNA". It matches the Rfam family "Archaeal small subunit ribosomal RNA", at positions 455 to 747 of the family's 1478-position model. The record is from RNAcentral.
GUGCCAGCAGCCGCGGUAAUACCGGCAGCCCGAGUGAUGGCCGAUCUUAUUGGGCCUAAAGCGUCCGUAGCUGGCUGCGCAAGUCCGUCGGGAAAUCCACUCGCCCAACGAGUGGGUGUCCGACGGAAACCAUACGGCUUGGGACCAGAGGACCCGAGGGGUACGUUGGGGGUAGGAGUGAAAUCCCGAGAUCCUCAACGGACCGCCGGUGGCGAAAGCGCCUCGGGAAGAUGGAUCCGACGGUCAGGGACGAAAGCUUGGGUCUCCAACCGGAUUAGAAACCCUAGUAGUCC